GAUCAUGGCUCAGGAUGAACGCUGGCGGCGCGCCUAACACAUGCAAGUCGAACGGCACCCACCCUCGGGUGGUAAGCGAGUGGCGAACGGCUGAGUAACACGUGGAGAACCUGCCCCCUCCCCGGGAUAGCCGCCCGAAAGGACGGGUAAUACCGGAUACCCCGGGGUGCCGCAUGGCACCCCGGCUAAAGCCCCGACGGGAGGGGAUGGCUCCGCGGCCCAUCAGGUAGACGGCGGGUGACGGCCACCGUGCCGACACGGGU
This 263-nucleotide ribosomal RNA is filed under the name uncultured bacterium. RNAcentral describes it as "partial 16S ribosomal RNA". It matches the Rfam family "Bacterial small subunit ribosomal RNA", at positions 15 to 284 of the family's 1533-position model. The record is from RNAcentral.